CACGUAGUUAGCCGGGGCUUCUUCUGGAGGUACCGUCACCCUCUGGGCUAUUAACCCGAGUGGCUUCGUCCCUCCUGAAAGCGGUUUACAACCCGAAGGCCUUCUCCCCGCACGCGGCGUCGCUGCGUCAGGCUUUCGCCCAUUGCGCAAGAUUCCCCACUGCUGCCUCCCGUAGGAGUCUGGGCCGUGUCUCAGUCCCAGUGUGGCUGAUCGUCCUCUCAGACCAGCUACGGAUCGUCGCCCUGGUGGGCCAUUACCCCACCAACAAGCUAAUCCGCCGCGGGCUCAUCCUCAGCCGGAAGCCGAAGCCACCUUUUCUGACGAAUCCGAAGACUCGAAAGGCUAUCCGGUAUUAAUCCGGGUUUCCCCGGGCUAUCCCAGUGCCGAGGGCAGAUUACCCACGUGUUACUCACCCGUUCGCCGCUUUCCCCAGGCCCGAAGGCCUGGUUCUCGCUCGACUUGCAUGUGUUAAGCGCGCCGCCAGCGUUCGUCUGACGCCGAGGACUCAAACUCU
RNAcentral lists this ribosomal RNA (514 nucleotides) under uncultured bacterium. RNAcentral's name for it is "partial 16S ribosomal RNA". The record is from RNAcentral.